RNAcentral lists this ribosomal RNA (449 nucleotides) under uncultured Leptolinea sp. RNAcentral describes it as "bacterial SSU rRNA". It matches the Rfam family "Bacterial small subunit ribosomal RNA", at positions 919 to 1382 of the family's 1533-position model. The record is from RNAcentral. Lineage: Bacteria; Bacillati; Chloroflexota; Anaerolineae; Anaerolineales; Anaerolineaceae.
ACCCGCACAAGCAGCGGAGCGUGUGGUUUAAUUCGAUGCUACACGAAGAACCUUACCAGGGUUUGACAUGCAAGUGGUAGGAAACUGAAAAGGGACCGACCUUCGGGGAGCUUGCACAGGUGCUGCAUGGCUGUCGUCAGCUCGUGUCGUGAGAUGUUCGGUUAAGUCCGCUAACGAGCGCAACCCUCGCUGUGUGUUACAAGUGUCACACGGUACUGCCGGUCUUAAGCCGGAGGAAGGUGGGGAUGACGUCAAGUCAGCAUGGCCUUUAUGUCCUGGGCUACACACACGCUACAAUGGCCAACACAAUAGGUUGCUAAGCCGCGAGGUGGAGCCAAUCCUCAAAGUUGGUCUCAGUUCAGAUUGCAGGCUGCAACCCGCCUGCAUGAAGAUGGAGUUGCUAGUAACCGCAGGUCAGCUAUACUGCGGUGAAUACGUUCCCGGGGCUU